Molecule: long non-coding RNA, 401 nt
Organism: Dreissena polymorpha
Lineage: Eukaryota; Metazoa; Mollusca; Bivalvia; Myida; Dreissenidae
Exons: 2
Source: RefSeq, a predicted model, not a curated record
AGUACUUUUGACUAUUUUUAUGGUGGCAAUCUGGGUAAAAAAUGGGGAUUCAGAACCAAGCGAAAGAAAAAAUGCUCAUUUUGGGGGUAUAGAAUGGACGGAAAGGUUAAAAUGAACAAGAUACAUAUAUGUAGGCAAGCAUUUUAAGCUUAGAAAUGAGGUUCCAUGUAGUAACAGGGGCAGAAAGGCAGCUCAGAUCAAUGCAGGCUUCCUGAAAGGGGUUUCUAGUACUUCUUUUGGGGACACAGCUUCCCGCAGAAUUCUCAACACAUCAAACAUCAUUGAUCCAUGUCACCUCUGUAUGCAAAGACAAGCGAAUAAAGUCAAUACUGCCCUUAAAUCACUGAAUGAGAGAAGCAUUUACCAAAUAAAAAACAAAACUGGUUGCUGAAAGUGCCAAA